RNAcentral lists this long non-coding RNA (321 nucleotides) under Amphimedon queenslandica. RNAcentral describes it as "uncharacterized LOC109585305". The record is from RNAcentral. Lineage: Eukaryota; Metazoa; Porifera; Demospongiae; Haplosclerida; Niphatidae.
UGGAAAAUAAUGAAACUGUCAUUAUGAAAACAUUAUAAUUACACAGUGUAUAUUGUUAGGUUGAAUCAGCUAAUAAGGUCCUGCUUUAUGCUGAUGUAAUGAUAAUCCCUAAGGACAGUAGGCCACAGUGUCCACCCACUAGUGUCCAACCAGUAACAUAUGCAGUAAUAUAACAUUGAAAUUUCUUGGUGGUUCCAGGUUACAUUAUUUGCUGUAACAUAAAUUUUUUGUAAUAAUGUAUUUUUAAUUAUUUUAAACUUAUUGUGUAGCAUGUCUGAGUGUGCAUUAACAUCCAUUAAACCAUUAAUUCUUUGAUAUAUA